GAUGAACGCUGACAGAAUGCUUAACACAUGCAAGUCGAUGGGGAAGUGGUGCUUGCACCAUGGCAACCAUGGCGGACGGGUGAGUAACACGUAAGGGACUUACCUGCAGGACUGGGAUAACAGGGGGAAACUCCUGACAAGACCGGAUAAUGUCAUGGAGCUGCAUGGCUUUAUGAUGAAAGGAGACGCCUGCGGAGAGCCUUGCGUCCUAUUAGCUAGUUGGUGAGGUAAUGGCUCACCAAGGCGAAGAUAGGUAGCCGGCCUGAGAGGGUGGACGGCCACAAGGGGACUGAGAUACGGCCCUUACUCCUACGGGAGGCAGCAGUGGGGAAUAUUGGACAAUGGGGGCAACCCUGAUCCAGCAAUUCUGUGUGCACGAAGAAGGUUUUCGGAUUGUAAAGUGCUUUCAGCAGGGAAGAAGUAAGUGACGGUACCUGCAGAAGAAGCGACGGCUAAAUACGUG
RNAcentral lists this ribosomal RNA (463 nucleotides) under uncultured bacterium. RNAcentral's name for it is "partial 16S ribosomal RNA". It matches the Rfam family "Bacterial small subunit ribosomal RNA", at positions 28 to 507 of the family's 1533-position model. The record is from RNAcentral.